RNAcentral lists this unclassified non-coding RNA (206 nucleotides) under plant metagenome. Its description in RNAcentral is "partial contains small subunit ribosomal RNA, internal transcribed spacer 1, and 5.8S ribosomal RNA". The record is from RNAcentral.
UUUCCGUAGGUGAACCUGCGGAAGGAUCAUUCAUAAUAAGUGUUUUACUGCACUUUUUAAAAAUAGUACUCACCUUGUUUGCAAUGUUGUGUUUCUUUUCGGAGAAACACCUACACCAACCUAUAACCUUGAACCACUUUGUCUGAAAAACUAUUAUGAAUACUUAAUUCAAAAUACAACUUUCAACAACGGAUCUCUUGGCUCUC